GAUGGUGAUUCUAUCUUUAAGAGCCUGGGAAAUGCGAAAAUGGCUAAGUGAGGAAAGGAAAGUAAAGGCACGGGGAGGACGAUGAAGGUAGAGAGGUGUACCUUAGGGACGGUAGUAAGGGUGGCCAUGGAAUUGGUUUGGGAUUUGAAGUGAUUAGCAAGUGUAUGACCAAUGGUCGCUGGAGAUCUCUGAUGGUCACCGAAAAUCAUCGACUGUCGCCCUUCACCCGAAAAGAAAGAGGAAGUAAGGUAUGGUGGUGUGAGAAGAUGAACUGGUGGGGAUGAAGAAGAUGAUAGUUGUAAACUUAUAAACUCAUCUGAGAGGGUAAAUGCGGUAUCUCAUCCGUCGUCUGCAUGAAACUCGAAGAGCUAUUACCCCCAGAUGCUUUUUCAGGCAAUCAUGAUUGAGGAGAUUCCGGAAUAGAAAAUAUUUUGUUACUCGGUGAUUGGUAAAUAUCGGCAUUUUCCUAGGGAAGGUAAUUAUGGCUGAGAUAAUUUUGGAGCAAAAGAUAAGUUUUACUCCAAAACUGGGGGGCAUGUGUUGACACCAUUUUUUGACAUAUGUCAAAGAUGGCGUCAAAAGGAAGCAGAGAUGCCAGCGCAUAGUGGAAGGACAACGUCUAGUGGAAUCGGCAGGUAAGGUUGCCGAGGGUUUAGCCGAUAGAGUAAGGCAGAAGCCUAGCCUAUGGGAUCACAAGGGUGUAGCUAAUAGGAGAUGAUGGAGGUGUAGCCGAUGGAGUCAGCCGAUGCGAGAAGGAGGGUUCUAGCCGAUUGGAAAUUUUGGAGGUUCGACCGAUGAGAAGAAGGUUUUGGCCGGUAGAGGCCAAGUUCGUUUCCGACUCCUGCGCAAGUCAUUUUUAUUUAGAAAGUUUGUUUCUGUAGAGAUAGAUCUUAUGAUUUGUCGUAACCGACUAGGAUUAGAAAUCUUGAUGUAUAGGAUACAAAUAGGGGUCUUGUAAGGUCUGGAAAGAC
This 971-nucleotide long non-coding RNA is filed under the name Setaria viridis. RNAcentral describes it as "long non-coding RNA (SVIR_LNC007915)". Lineage: Eukaryota; Viridiplantae; Streptophyta; Magnoliopsida; Poales; Poaceae. The record is from RNAcentral.